RNAcentral lists this ribosomal RNA (1783 nucleotides) under Petrobius brevistylis. Its description in RNAcentral is "SSU rRNA". It matches the Rfam family "Eukaryotic small subunit ribosomal RNA". Lineage: Eukaryota; Metazoa; Arthropoda; Insecta; Archaeognatha; Machilidae. The record is from RNAcentral.
CCUGCCAGUAGUCAUAUGCUUGUCUCAAAGAUUAAGCCAUGCAUGUGUAAGUACAAGCCAUUUUAUGGCGAAACCGCAAACAGCUCAUUAAAUCAGUUAUGGUUCCUUGGAUUUAAGUUAUCAUACUUGGAUAACUGUGGUAAUUCUAGAGCUAAUACAUGCAACUAAGCUCCGACUUACGGGAAGAGCGCUUUUAUUAGAUCAAGACCAAUCGGGGUAUAUCCUCGUUUGCUUGGUGACUCUGAAUAACCUUAUGCUGAUCGCACGGUCAAGCACCGGCGACAUAUCUUUCAAAUGUCUGACUUAUCAACUGUCGAUGUGAUGCUAUGAGCCUCACAUGGUCGUCACGAGUGACGGGGAAUCAGGGUUCGAUUCCGGAGAGGGAGCCUGAGAAACGGCUACCACAUCCAAGGAAGGCAGCAGGCACGCAAAUUACCCACUCCGGCACGGGGAGGUAGUGACGAAAAAUAACAAUACGAGACUCAUCCGAGGCCUCGUAAUUGGAAUGAGUAGAAUUUAAAAGAGUAUACGAAUAUCUAUUGGAGGGCAAGUCUGGUGCCAGCAGCCGCGGUAAUACCAGUUCCAAUAGCGUAUAUUAAAAUUGUUGCGGUUAAAAAGCUCGUAGUUGGACUUUGGUCUCGGACAGUCGGUUUCACUUGCCGGUGUACACUGACUGGUCCGGACGUACUGCCGGUUCGUCCUCGGUGCUCUUCACUGAGCGUCUUGGGUGGCCGGCACGUUUACUUUGAACAAAUUAGAGUGCUUAAAGCAGGCUCUAUGCCUGAAUAAUGGUGCAUGGAAUAAUGGAAUAGGACUUCGGUUCUGUUUUGUUGGUCUUAAGAACUUGAGGUAAUGAUUAACAGAGACAGACGAGGGCAUACGUAUUGUAACGGGAGAGGUGAAAUUCUUGGAUCGUUACAAGACGAACAAAGGCGAAAGNAUUUGCCCAGAAUGUCUUCAUUAAUCAAGAACGAAAGUUAGAGGCUCGAAGGCGAUUAGAUACCGCCCUAGUUCUAACCAUAAACGAUGCCAGCCAGCGAUCCGCCGAUGUUACUUGAUGACUCGGCGGGAAGCUUCCGGGAAACCAAAGCUUUUGGGUUCCGGGGGAAGUAUGGUUGCAAAGCUGAAACUUAAAGGAAUUGACGGAAAGGCACCACCAUGGAGUGGGGCCUGCGGUUUAAUUUGACUCAACACGGAAAACCUCACUAGGCCCAGACACUGGCAGGAUGGACAGAUUAAGAGCUCUCUCUAGAUUCAGUGGGUGGUGGUGCAUGGCCGAUCUUAGUUCUUGGAGCGAUUUGUCUGGUUAAUUCCGUUAACGAACGAGACUCUGGCCUAUUAAAUAGACGUCGGAUCCAAGGGGUCCGACGGUCUUCUUAGAGGGACAGGCGCGCCAGCCGCACGAGAGUGAGCAAUAUCAGGUCUGUGAUGCCCUUAGAUGUUCUGGGNCNCACGCGCGCCACAAUGAAGGAAUCAAAGUGACCCCUAUCCGAAAGGACCGGGAAAUCAUUGAACCUCCUUCGUGUUAGGGAUUGGGGAUUGCAAUUAUUUCCCAUGAACGAGGAAUUCCUAGUAAGUGUUGGUCAUGAGCCGACUUUGAAUAAGUCCCUGCCUUUUGUACACACCGCCCGUCGCUACUACCGAUUGAAUGGUUUAGUGAGGCUUCGGACCGGGCACUGCGUCGCUCACGGGAGACACGGAUGCCCUGGAAAGAUGUCCGAACUUGACUAUUUAGAGGAAGUAAAAGUCGUAACAAGGUUUCCGUAGUGAACCUGCAGAUGGA